AGGCGACACGGAUACUUCAGGAGUGACUGUGACGGCUGGUUUUGCGAGUCAAAAUGUCAUACUUUUCCAAAACCUUGUACUAUGAACUGCACUGGAAGGGAUUGCAUUAGUGAG
This is a long non-coding RNA of Cydia fagiglandana, 114 nucleotides long. RefSeq lists it as uncharacterized. The record is from RefSeq and is a predicted model, not a curated record. The transcript has 4 exons. NCBI's taxonomy places the organism in Eukaryota, Metazoa, Arthropoda, Insecta, Lepidoptera, Tortricidae.